CCGGUAAGGUUAUCAACCUCUAGUCUGCCUCCUACCACACCAGUAAGGUUAUCAACCUUUAGUCUACCACCCCAGUAAGGUUAUCAACCUCUAGUCUACCACCUACCACCCCAGUAAGGUUAUCAAUCUAUAGUCUACCACCCCAGUAAGCUUAUCAAUCUAUAGUCUACCACCCCAGUAAGGUUAUCAACCUUUAGUCUACCACCUACCACCCCAGUAAGGUUAUCAACCUCUAGUCUACAACCUUCCACCCCAGUAAGGUUAUCAACCUCUCAUCCGCCACCUACCACCCCAGUAAGGUUAUCAAUCUCUAAUCUACCACCCUAGUAAGGUUAUCGACCUUUAGUCUACCACCCCAGUAAGGUUAUCAACCUUUAGUCUACC
Molecule: long non-coding RNA, 384 nt
Filed under: Salmo salar (Atlantic salmon)
Lineage: Eukaryota; Metazoa; Chordata; Actinopteri; Salmoniformes; Salmonidae
Description: lncRNA (ENSSSAG00000088684.1)
Source: RNAcentral